RNAcentral lists this long non-coding RNA (775 nucleotides) under Vitis vinifera (wine grape). RNAcentral's name for it is "long non-coding RNA (VVIN_LNC000073)". Lineage: Eukaryota; Viridiplantae; Streptophyta; Magnoliopsida; Vitales; Vitaceae. The record is from RNAcentral.
CUGUAUUUUUGAAGACUGGGUAACAUUUUCUUCAUGAUAAUGGUCAAGCUUGCUAUUCAUGAGAAAUGAAUCAGUACUACAGCCCUUCAUUUCAGCAUGAGAUGCCUCCCCCUGUUUGUUCUUGGAAAUAGAAAUCCUUGUUUCAAGGAGAGAAUCCAAUGAACUGAGCCGCUGAUCCCAAACAUGUGAACCAAUGAGGAGAGAACGUCUCAAGCAGUUGAGUUCCAGAAUGUCUACUGCCACUUGACCUGAUGGUGAAGCUCCUACACCAGAUGGUUGCAGCAAAUUCUAUUUACAAGCAAGGAAACUAAUCAAAAGCAGAUGGACACAUUACUCUAAAACAUGAAUUGUAAACAGAAAAAAAAAAAAAAGGACAAAUUUAUAUAAGCACUUUAGAGGGUUGAUAUUAACCAGGAGUCCUAUGGUAACAAAAAUACAUAGAUAUAUAAACCAAUCUCUAAUCUGAACUUACGUUGUAAUCAUUUCUUUCCCUAUUCAGCAGAUCUUUCAGGUCCAUGAUAUGGUUAUGCAACUCACUUUUAUCUGAAGAUUCAUUUCUGAAAGAUGUAGUUUUCUGUUCAAUUCUAUCGAGCACAUCAGAUAUCUUCACAUACACAGUUUCUAUUUUACUCAAAAGCUGAGAAGGAAAAAGGCAGAAGAUGGUUAUGAAAAUAGAUAUACUCAAAGAUAUGCCAAAAGUACUGAUUAGUUUUAUAGUUAGCAUCCAUCCAAAGUAAUCGGGGGCAGAGCAGUCUUAGAUCCAUAAUAGUACCUC